GAUGAACGCUAGCGGCAGGCUUAAUACAUGCAAGUCGAACGGGAUUUAGGAGCUUGCUUCUAAUGAGAGUGGCGCACGGGUGAGUAACACGUACACAAUCUACCUUGUACAGGGGGAUAGCCUUGGGAAACUGAGAAUAAUACCCCAUAGUUUUAAUUUAUCGCAUGAUAGAUUAAAUAAAGCUGAGGCGGUACAAGAUGAGUGUGCGGAUGAUUAGGUAGUUGGUAGGGUAACGGCCUACCAAGCCGACGAUCAAUAGCUGGCGUGAGAGCGCGACCAGCCACACUGGAACUGAGACACGGUCCAGACUCCUACGGGAGGCAGCAGUAGGGAAUAUUGGACAAUGGGCGGAAGCCUGAUCCAGCCAUGCCGCGUGGAGGAUUAAGGCCCUCUGGGUUGUAAACUCCUUUUAUCUGGGAAGAACCAUUCCGACUUGUCGGAACAUGACGGUACCAGAGGAAUAAGCAACCGGCUAAACUCCGUGCCAGCAGCCGCGGUAAU
This 501-nucleotide ribosomal RNA is filed under the name uncultured bacterium. RNAcentral describes it as "bacterial SSU rRNA". It matches the Rfam family "Bacterial small subunit ribosomal RNA", at positions 28 to 524 of the family's 1533-position model. The record is from RNAcentral.